GGUUUGGUGCCUGUGUCUUCCAUGGGAGCCUUGCAGCCUGGGGCACUGUGUCCUGGUAGGACCAGCAAGUGCCUGGCUACUCUGAACAAAAUAUCACUUAAUAAGACCCCUGUUUACCUCGCCUUGUAACAGCGAUCUACAGACGGACACCCACAGGUCCAAAUCCAGGUUCGGCCCUCGCUAAGCCUGCCUUCCCAUAUUCUCGCUCUGCUUUUUCUAUGACUUUAGGUUUGCCUGCCUCAGUUAACUCUGAUCUCCAUGAGGACAGAAUCUGUCUUGAAGUCUUUGACCCCCGGGCGCUAGCCUUCAGCACUUGGGACGGCUUCUCAUCAUCACCAGGAUUGUGUAAGGGAGCAGCCAUCACUGCUGGAGUUUGAAGGGACCGAUAAGCAUACAAAGCAGAGAGACAGACGAAGUAAUGGGUCAGCCAAAAUGUGAAUGGAAGCCGAAUUGGAGAACAAGACUCCGAGGAGCAGCAACCCAGGGUCUCCGGAUGCUCUUGCCUCCAAGUUGGUCCUACAGGAGCCCCCUCAACAGAUAUUCGGGGUCUUCAGAAUGGAUGCUGACAUCCCUCCACUUAUCCAGACAAGGUCUCUCUCAUGGCAUAAACUAUGAAAACGGUAGAUAGCUAUUCCCCUGUGGGGAAUGAAGGUGGGUAGCUUAUGAGUAAUGUUAAAUUAAUGUUCCUUCCACACAUUUAUUGAGGGCCUGUUAUUUCCUAGGCAGUUCUGGAUGUUUAGGAGACGCACAUAGAAUAGAAACUCCCCAGGGAAUUGACAGCAUGGAAGAGGACGUGACCACGUAUAUCAGUCAUUGCACCGGAGACUGAAAUGUAGGUUGCAUCGGCGGUGUGAUCCAGGUGCCGGGACAGCUUGGUUGGGGCAAGGAGUUCUGAGCUGGGGAGCUGAGGGAACGUUCUAGGAGUUGGCCCUUUGGCGGAGGCUUCAACACCUCUAUCUAGUACAGGUGGCGACGUUACAGACCCAGCCUACAUGAGUGACUGAAUCCUACCCUGCCAGGCAUCCCAACAGCCUCCUUUGCGUUUCCAGGACAGACAUGUGUCUAGGAGUCAAAAGCAUUUUGUUGGAGCUGUGCGGUGUGCCACACCCAAUGCAGAGACCACUCUCCAAGGCUGAGGUGUCAUAUGCUGCUAAGGCUCAAGGCACUGAUGGCCUCUUCCUUCUGCCCCCCCUGACCAGCCUUCCUGACCCCACAUCAUGUCUGAUUCUUGGCACCUGCUAUACUCAGGUUUCUUAUAGACAGAGACUGAUGGGGUUCAAGUGGACUCAGGUCCGAUUACCCAUCUGCAACAUGGAAUCUGGAAGAGGGAGAAACUGGUACAGAUGGCCUGCCUUGAGAGACCAGGCCUGCCGAGGUCCGCUUGCCACAUUUGGGUAGGAAUUGCAAGAGAGGUGCAAGUGUGCCUGACCUAUGAGGCCACCUCCUGGUGCACGUGGCUUAGCAAACUCCUCGAAUAUUGACCAGUUCAGUUGACCAGUUCUGCCAUGGCUGGGAAAGGUGGCACUGAGACUAACACUUCUACCCAUAAGGAGCAGAAAAGAAAUAUUCCUGUGUGUUUCAGCCUCCAUGUGUGAAACAAUAGAUGUUUGCAGACCUGCCAGUGUCCUGUAAUCAGAAGGAUGGCAAAUGGGCAGAUGGUGAGGGCGGGAUGAGCCUGGGAAUGCAGGGUUAGCUAGAGAGCAAAGUCUCUCUGAAACGUAUUAUCUUUUUUCAUUUAUAUUUCACACAUGUUACCAGUCUCUUUUUAUAAAUAAGAACACAGAGGCUCAGGAGUCCCCUUGUGGCACAGUGAGCCAAGGAUCUGGCGUCAUCACUGCUGUGGCUCAGGUAGCUGCUAUGGCACAGGUUCAGUCCCUUGCCAGGAGAACUCCAUGUGCAGCAGGCAUGGCCCAAAUAAACUGAGGCUCAGAAAGGUUAAGAGAAUUAUCCCAAGUCACACAGCUUAGAAUUGUUGAAACCAGCCAUCAAAUUGUUUUUUUUUCCUAGUCCUACUUUCUUUCACUCACUUGGGAUUGGCUUCAGUGCUGCAUAAUUUAAAAUGUUAUUCACAUAAGUGAGGUAGAAUUAUCACCAUUUAAUAGAUACGAUUUUCGUCACUGCUACUCAAAAUUGAUCUAAUUUUAAAACCUUUGGAACUUUGAAGUGCUACUAUCUAAAUACACCUAAGUGUCUUAGAGUACUUUGGAACUUUUAUUAUAUGCAAGUCCUCUAAAAUGUGGUAUUGUUAAAAAAUGACUUGGGAGUCUUUAUUCAAAAUACGGAAAACCUUCAGCAUUUGAAGCUUAAAAGCAAAUUGCAAUUACUGAAAACAAAGCUUGCAAAUAGGAAGAUGUUAAAAUGCAUCCUUACAAAAACAAGGGGAGAUCUGAAAAAAUAAAAAAGAAUAGUUAGAGCUCAAAGGGGGUACUAUAUUUAACUUUCAAAUGUGAAAAUUGUUUGAUUUGAGAGAGAAAAAUCUUUUGACAUAAGUCCUAUUUUUAAUUGGAUAAGUUGAUAUUCUGUUCUGAAAUGGAAGAAGAUUGAAAAAAAGCCUAUAAUUUUGCAGCUCUAAAUUUAGCAAAAUAUUCAAACAAAAUCAAAAUAUAAUCAAUUUAUUUCAUAUAGUUUUUCUUAUAAACAUGUGUACAUUGUAGAAAAGCACUCUUCAUGGAGGCAAACUGACUAUUUCUAAAAAUACUUAUGCCAACAUUUUUACAUAUUUCAGUAUAAAAAUGGAAUGGAGCAUAUUUCUCAUUUAACUGAAUUUCCUUUAAACUUAACUGGAGUAUCUCUUUACCUAUAGCAAGAGAGUUUCCCAGUUAAAAUUAUAAUGGUCUGCUGAAAAUAAACAAUUUUUAGGUACCCAUUAUCUCAAGUUUAUCAUCCAUACAGUGCAUCUUUGAAAAAGAUCGGGGAUAAUUUUAUAAAAAAAAAACUGUAAGACUUAAAAACACCUUCUUCAGAAGAUAUCACUGACGCUGUAAUAAAGUCAGAUGUAUAUUUGAUUAAAGAAUGUGAAUAGCACCAAGAAAAAUGAUUUUAAAUAUUCUUACUUUUAAUAUUAGAUAAUAAAAAUGUAAAGAGAUUUUUAAUGCUUUCCUUGGAAUACAUGAACCCUUGAUAUUUUAAAUUUUUAGAAAGAUUUUUUCUGAAAAUAGUUUCAAUAUAGAAGUUUUCAGAGGUCUACGAAUAUAAUAAAGUCUUUCUUCGUAUAUAUUUAUGUAAACAUAUAAGUAUGUGUGCUACAUAUAUAUGUGGUAUUUAUAUGUAUUUGUAGAUAUAUGUGUAUGCUUUUAGAACGCCCUUUGGAAUAUUUCAGAAACUGGAAAAUAUGAAAUAUCAUCUCUUUAGGUGGGAGCUCUCAUGGCAGGCAAACCAGAUCAAACCUCCACCAUAAGUAGCAGUGUCUGGAGGUAAGCUUCCCUUGCCAGAGACAUCUCCUUAUCUCCCCUCUCUCUGCCUCUCUCGCUAUCUAACUGUCUGUCUACCAUCUGUCAAUCGUUUAUCUUCAGUGUAUUUCUCCUUUUGGGGAAAUGACUGUAUAGUAAUGUUUAUUAUAAAAGUAGUAGAAUAAAAGUAACCAUUAGUCACAAAAAAAAA
RNAcentral lists this long non-coding RNA (3600 nucleotides) under Sus scrofa (pig). Its description in RNAcentral is "lncRNA (ENSSSCG00040030894.1)". Lineage: Eukaryota; Metazoa; Chordata; Mammalia; Artiodactyla; Suidae. The record is from RNAcentral.